GUGGCCUUUCCUUGCAGAGCUGUGUUCCUCCACCCCAGGAAGGGAAGGGCAGGACCAGGUCCUUGGUGUCUGCUAGUUGUCCAGGGGCGCCCACCCGCGAUGUCCUGCUGGUCUCUGCCAUUAUCACCGUCAGCCUUAGCAUCACUCUCGUCCUCUGCGGCCUCUGCCACUGGUGUCAGCGCAAACUGGGCAAACGCUACAAGAACUCCCUGGAGACUGUGGGCACGCCAGACUCAGGGCGUGGGCGCAACGAGAAGAAGACCAUCAA
Leptonychotes weddellii (Weddell seal) is the source of this 268-nucleotide non-coding RNA. The record is from RefSeq and is a predicted model, not a curated record. Lineage: Eukaryota; Metazoa; Chordata; Mammalia; Carnivora; Phocidae.